RNAcentral lists this ribosomal RNA (524 nucleotides) under uncultured bacterium. Its description in RNAcentral is "bacterial SSU rRNA". It matches the Rfam family "Bacterial small subunit ribosomal RNA", at positions 395 to 917 of the family's 1533-position model. The record is from RNAcentral.
UGCCGCGUGCAGGAAGACUGCCCUAUGGGUUGUAAACUGCUUUUAUACAGGAAGAAACCUUUUCACGUGUGAGAAGCUGACGGUACUGUAAGAAUAAGGAUCGGCUAACUCCGUGCCAGCAGCCGCGGUAAUACGGAGGAUCCAAGCGUUAUCCGGAAUCAUUGGGUUUAAAGGGUCCGUAGGUUGAUAAUUAAGUCAGAGGUGAAAUCCUGCAGCUUAACUGUAGAAUUGCCUUUGAUACUGGUUGUCUUGAGUUAUUAUGAAGUAGUUAGAAUAUGUAGUGUAGCGGUGAAAUGCAUAGAUAUUACAUAGAAUACCAAUUGCGAAGGCAGAUUACUAAUAAUAUACUGACACUGAUGGACGAAAGCGUGGGGAGCGAACAGGAUUAGAUACCCUGGUAGUCCACGCCGUAAACGAUGGUCACUAGCUGUUUGAACUUCGGUUUGAGUGGCUAAGCGAAAGUGAUAAGUGACCCACCUGGGGAGUACGUUCGCAAGAAUGAAACUCAAAUGAAAUUUGACGGA